UACGUAGGGUGCAAGCGUUGUCCGGAAUUAUUGGGCGUAAAGAGCUCGUAGGCGGUCUGUCGCGUCGGAUGUAAAAACCCAGGGCUCAACCCUGGGCCUGCAUUCGAUACGGGCAGACUAGAGUUCGGUAGGGGAGACUGGAAUUCCUGGUGUAGCGGUGAAAUGCGCAGAUAUCAGGAGGAACACCGGUGGCGAAGGCGGGUCUCUGGGCCGAAACUGACGCUGAGGAGCGAAAGCGUGGGGAGCAAACAGG
RNAcentral lists this ribosomal RNA (253 nucleotides) under uncultured bacterium. RNAcentral describes it as "partial 16S ribosomal RNA". It matches the Rfam family "Bacterial small subunit ribosomal RNA", at positions 524 to 776 of the family's 1533-position model. The record is from RNAcentral.